GGGCCGGGUCCCGGGGGUGGCGGGGCUGAGCUCCGGGCGGCUCCGCGCUCCCGGGGCUGCCCUGAGCUGGAGGUGGGAGCUGGGCUACACCUCCCUCCCUGCCCACAGCCCUCCGGGGCAAAGGCAACCACAGGUACAAUUUGCUGAUGGAUUAUACGGACAAAUAAAAAAAAUUACAAAAAUAUAUUCAGUGCUGAUAUUCAGGGAACUGUAAGAAAUAUAAACUAAUCCAGGCUUGUUAAAAUAGGUUUUUCUUCCCUAUUCUUUAGGUGUUUAUAAAAAUCGUAUUGGGUCAGGGAGAAAUUAUCUUGACAUAACUUGUUUGUUUUUUUUUUUUCAUUUUAAUACUUUUGAAGUUGAAGAGCAGAUGAAUUUAUGCGAUGUGAAAUUUAUUUUGUAAAUAUUAAAAUUUUACUAGAUAAUGUUCUUAAGAUAUUUGAUAUUUAUUAAAUCCUCUUCUAUUAAGGAAAAAAAAGUAUAUUUACAAAUCACCCAUGGGUUGAAAAUUUUUUAACUGUAAGUAUAAUACAAAUAACCUCUGUGACUUCCUAAAGAUUCAUAAGGAUUAACUAGAGACUGUAGACUUUAAAAAAAAUAAUAAUAUUAGGAGUUACCAUGCUGUGUAUUCUACACAGAAAAAAAAAAAAUUCUUAGUAAGUUAGCCUAAGACUUUGGAGCAGCCUACCACAACCCAAGGUAAGUAGGUUCCCUUAUAAUUGUAUUUUCCAUCAAUAUUUUGCAGUUUCUUUUUAGAAUCAGUGUCUUCUUUCAGCCUUCAGCUUUGGGAUUUAUUUCACCAGAUCUGCCAGUUUUCCCAUUCUCCAUGUAUUUUGGUGUUUAGAAGUUCCUUAUCUUCACAGCAAUAACUUAAAACAUACCAUGUUCCCUGAGCAUCUGCAGAGUGAAUGGAGGAGGCAAACAGCGUGGCAUGGGAGAGGAAAUACAACCCAUGGAAAGGGGUCCUGGUCCUCUCAGAUGCUACGGAGGAAACUGUUUUAGUGGGCAAACACAGUAAACCACCCCAGAAACCAGUGCACAAACAACAGAAAACUGAAAAAUAUUUUAUUCAGCUCUUUAUCACAGUUCAAUUAUGGAAUGAAGAUAUCUCAUAA
This 1112-nucleotide long non-coding RNA is filed under the name Parus major (Great Tit). RNAcentral's name for it is "lncRNA (ENSPMJG00000018612.1)". Lineage: Eukaryota; Metazoa; Chordata; Aves; Passeriformes; Paridae. The record is from RNAcentral.